This 496-nucleotide ribosomal RNA is filed under the name uncultured Acinetobacter sp. RNAcentral describes it as "bacterial SSU rRNA". It matches the Rfam family "Bacterial small subunit ribosomal RNA", at positions 9 to 524 of the family's 1533-position model. The record is from RNAcentral. Lineage: Bacteria; Pseudomonadati; Pseudomonadota; Gammaproteobacteria; Moraxellales; Moraxellaceae.
GAGUUUGAUCAUGGCUCAGAUUGAACGCUGGCGGCAGGCUUAACACAUGCAAGUCGAGCGGGCGAGGUUGCUUCGGUAACUGAGCUAGCGGCGGACGGGUGAGUAAUGCUUAGGAAUCUGCCUAUUAGUGGGGGACAACAUUCCGAAAGGGAUGCUAAUACCGCAUACGUCCUACGGGAGAAAGCAGGGGAUCUUUAUGACCUUGCGCUAAUAGAUGAGCCUAAGUCGGAUUAGCUAGUUGGUGGGGUAAAGGCCUACCAAGGCGACGAUCUGUAGCGGGUCUGAGAGGAUGAUCCGCCACACUGGGACUGAGACACGGCCCAGACUCCUACGGGAGGCAGCAGUGGGGAAUCUUGCGCAAUGGGCGAAAGCCUGACGCAGCCAUGCCGCGUGAAUGAUGAAGGUCUUAGGAUUGUAAAAUUCUUUCACCGGGGACGAUAAUGACGGUACCCGGAGAAGAAGCCCCGGCUAACUUCGUGCCAGCAGCCGCGGUAAU